Molecule: ribosomal RNA, 497 nt
Filed under: uncultured bacterium
Lineage: Bacteria
Description: partial 16S ribosomal RNA
Rfam family: Bacterial small subunit ribosomal RNA
Source: RNAcentral
GAUGAACGCUGGCGGCGUGCCUAAUACAUGCAAGUCGAGCGAACGGACGAGAAGCUUGCUUUUCUGAUGAUAGCGGCGGGCGGGUGAGUAACACGUGGAUAACCUACCUAUAAGACUGGGAUAACUUCGGGAAACCGGAGCUAAUACCGGAUAAUAUUUUGAACCGCAUGGUUCAAAAGUGAAAGACGGUCUUGCUGUCACUUAUAGAUUGAUCCGCGCUGCAUUAGCUAGUUGGUAAGGUAACGGCUUACCAAGGCAACGAUGCAUAGCCGACCUGAGAGGGUGAUCGGCCACACUGGAACUGAGACACGGUCCAGACUCCUACGGGAGGCAGCAGUAGGGAAUCUUCCGCAAUGGGCGAAAGCCUGACGGAGCAACGCCGCGUGAGUGAUGAAGGUCUUCGGAUCGUAAAACUCUGUUAUUAGGGAAGAACAUAUGUGUAAGUAACUGUGCACAUCUUGACGGUACCUAAUCAGAAAGCCACGGCUAACUACGUG